Alnus glutinosa is the source of this 221-nucleotide long non-coding RNA. RefSeq lists it as uncharacterized. The transcript is spliced from 3 exons. The record is from RefSeq and is a predicted model, not a curated record. NCBI's taxonomy places the organism in Eukaryota, Viridiplantae, Streptophyta, Magnoliopsida, Fagales, Betulaceae.
CAGUGUUUUGGUUCACAGUGGCGGGGUGCAUGGUGGACACUAUUAUGCUUACAUUAGGCCAACCCUAUCUGAUCAGUGGUUUAAAUUUGAUGAUGAACGAGUGGCAAAAGAAGAUAUCAAGAGGGCAUUAGAGGAGCAGUAUGGUGGUGAGGAAGAGUUGCCACCAGCAAAUCCUGGGUUCAACAAUUCUCCAUUUAAAUUUACUAAAUAUUCAAACGCAU